GUCCCAAAGUACUAACUUUAAUUUUAAAAGUCGCAGCUAUAAGCUCAAUAUUUGAAGUCAUUAUCUACCUCCAGUCUAAAUAUACUCUUUGCAUAAAUCCACUACAUAUUACAAGAUAUUGAAUCAAUGCUUGUUUGGUUUUUUCACAUCCAUCAAGCUCUCAAUUACAUCAAUUGUCAACUUCAAUGCACAUGAACGUUAUGAUGGCAUAUAUGUUGAAGUAUCAAUCUGCUCAGGGAGCUCCUU
RNAcentral lists this unclassified non-coding RNA (246 nucleotides) under Hevea brasiliensis (rubber tree). The record is from RNAcentral. Lineage: Eukaryota; Viridiplantae; Streptophyta; Magnoliopsida; Malpighiales; Euphorbiaceae.